RNAcentral lists this ribosomal RNA (305 nucleotides) under uncultured bacterium. RNAcentral's name for it is "bacterial SSU rRNA". It matches the Rfam family "Bacterial small subunit ribosomal RNA", at positions 333 to 636 of the family's 1533-position model. The record is from RNAcentral.
GUGGUCCUACGGGAGGCAGCAGUGAGGAAUAUUGGUCAAUGGUCGGGAGACUGAACCAGCCACGCCGCGUGAGGGAGGAAGGUACAGAGUAUCGUAAACCUCUUUUGUCAGGGAACAAAGACUGGGACGCGUCCCCGGAUGAGUGUACCUGAAGAAAAAGCAUCGGCUAACUCCGUGCCAGCAGCCGCGGUAAUACGGAGGAUGCGAGCGUUAUCCGGAUUUAUUGGGUUUAAAGGGUGCGUAGGCGGACUGCCAAGUCAGCGGUAAAAUCGCGGGGCUCCACCUCUCUCCGCCGUUGAAACUGG